CAAAACUCGCCAUGUUUCCCCACGGCACUCUGCCGGUCUCCUGCCUCCCCUGAGCCCCACUCUUUCUUCUUGACUUGACUCGCACGCCAUUGCAAUUAUAUCUCUGCUCUCCUUUCCUCCUCCCUCUCUCUAUAUCUUUCUUGAUCUCCUCUUAACCGCAUCCAAGCUCGGCCAUGGGCGUUCUGCGCCGCACGAGUCACUGUCUGUCCGUCGCAUUCGCGCUCUUCUUCGUCGCCACAGCUCUCGGUAAGUUAACAAGCUUCUAACAACGGCUAACACGUCCCAAAUUACUUCCCUGCUUAUUUUCCGGAGUUCUUAAUGCCUUAAAAAUCCCUCCUUUCUUUCCCAAUCCUUGCUUCACUCUCCUGUUUCUUGCUCUGUUUCGAUUUGAGAAAGAGAAAAAUUGUUUUUUUUUUUUUUUGGGUUCCCCUCUUUGGAAGAACCAUCAAUGCCCAAUAACCAGAUGCCUUCCUUUUCCUUUAUGUUUGAUACUGGCCAAAGGGUGAAACAGAUCUGUGAAACUCCCUAAAAAGGCAACUUUCUGAGUUAUUGUUUCUAUGUCCGAAUCUAUUAGUACUUCCACUUAUCAUAGUUUCUUAAACCCACCAAAACCCUGCUAUCAAAAUCCCAUUUUAUUUGCUAUUGUAUAUUAAUGGCCAAAAAGUAAAUGUGAUGACCAAAACUCAGUUAAAUAUAGAUCUCUUUUCUCCUGGGUUCGGUAAUAAUUCCUUGAACCCCUCCAAUGCCCUGUUAUGAAAUCCCCAUUGUUAAGACACUUGUAAAAAUGGCUGGCUCUUGUUAUCACCAUCAUUGCGCUCCGAAAAAGAGCAAAAGACAACACAAAAGCUCACAUAAAAAGCUAACUUUUUUCCUUGAAAUGGGCUUUUGAUUCUUAGACAAAAAAAAAAACAUAUUUUCUACGUUUCUCAGUGCCCCAGAUGCGAUUUUUAUCAAGUAAUAGUGAUGAUUCCAUACGUCCAUCCAAAAACCUGCUAUCAAAAUCCCAACUUUAUCAUAGUUUCGCAACUAUUGGAGGUCAUUUAUGAGUAACUUCUAUGCAGGGAGCAGCAGAUUGGUGGUGGAAGUGGUUCCGGAGGGGGAGGAGGCGAGAACAAGGCAUCAUUUGGAGCAGUGGGAGCAGGCGGCGGCGGCGGCGGCGGCUGCG
RNAcentral lists this long non-coding RNA (1165 nucleotides) under Elaeis guineensis (African oil palm). RNAcentral's name for it is "long non-coding RNA (EGUI_LNC008602)". The record is from RNAcentral. Lineage: Eukaryota; Viridiplantae; Streptophyta; Magnoliopsida; Arecales; Arecaceae.